UGUCACCACCGUAAGAACAUUACACAAUUAGAAUCAUACUGGAUGUGACCUUGGAGGCUGGCUUUUUCACUCUGCGUUUCAUCUGCCCAGGUUGCUGCAUGUAUCAAAGAUAAGAUCCCCAGACCGAAGACAGCCAUGUAACAGCAGAGGCAGACGCUGGAACGUUGUGACUGCCAUCCAGGAAACACCACCGUGUGCUUGCACCCACCAGAGAGACAGCAUGGAGCCACUAACACCUUGACUUUGGGCUUCUGGCCUCCAACGCGGAGAUAGUAGCUUUUUCCCUGAAGCCCUGCCGCUCAUGGUGCUUUGCUAUGUGGCAGCCCUGGGACAUGCGUACAUUUUGCAACAUAGUAACAACAAAAUUAGGGGUGUUCCUCAGUACAUUUUUUAUUGCCCUGCGUCAACCACAUAGAAAAGUACACAGACCAGAGAACGUGCAUCUUCUCUGGUCAAGUGUUUCUUGGGAUCUGUUGCCUGUUUGUUAAUUGGAUGUCUGUUUUCUUAUCGUCAAGUCUCGAGCAUUCUUUACAUAUUCUCAGUGCAAGCUUUUGUCAGAUAAGUGAUUUGUAAAUAUUUUCUCCCGAACUAGAGCUUGUCAUUUUGCCUCUUACUGUUGUCUUUCAGGGAACACGGCUGUCAUUUUUGAUGAUGUUCCGUGAUCGACUGUUGUUAAUAAACUGUGGGAUUUCAAAGCUGCACUGGACAGCCUCUCUAGCCUGGAAUCCGGAAUAAAGAAGCCAUGGAAUGGAUCCCGAGCCAAGCUGUAAAGGGCAUGGAUUGCGAACAAGAGAUAAACGUUUGUUUUUGAAAGCCA
Mustela erminea (ermine) is the source of this 817-nucleotide long non-coding RNA. RefSeq lists it as uncharacterized. The record is from RefSeq and is a predicted model, not a curated record. NCBI's taxonomy places the organism in Eukaryota, Metazoa, Chordata, Mammalia, Carnivora, Mustelidae. The transcript is spliced from 3 exons.